RNAcentral lists this ribosomal RNA (510 nucleotides) under Lactiplantibacillus plantarum. RNAcentral describes it as "bacterial SSU rRNA". It matches the Rfam family "Bacterial small subunit ribosomal RNA", at positions 1 to 475 of the family's 1533-position model. The record is from RNAcentral. Lineage: Bacteria; Bacillati; Bacillota; Bacilli; Lactobacillales; Lactobacillaceae.
UUAAUUUGAGAGUUUGAUCCUGGCUCAGGACGAACGCUGGCGGCGUGCCUAAUACAUGCAAGUCGAACGAACUCUGGUAUUGAUUGGUGCUUGCAUCAUGAUUUACAUUUGAGUGAGUGGCGAACUGGUGAGUAACACGUGGGAAACCUGCCCAGAAGCGGGGGAUAACACCUGGAAACAGAUGCUAAUACCGCAUAACAACUUGGACCGCAUGGUCCGAGUUUGAAAGAUGGCUUCGGCUAUCACUUUUGGAUGGUCCCGCGGCGUAUUAGCUAGAUGGUGGGGUAACGGCUCACCAUGGCAAUGAUACGUAGCCGACCUGAGAGGGUAAUCGGCCACAUUGGGACUGAGACACGGCCCAAACUCCUACGGGAGGCAGCAGUAGGGAAUCUUCCACAAUGGACGAAAGUCUGAUGGAGCAACGCCGCGUGAGUGAAGAAGGGUUUCGGCUCGUAAAACUCUGUUGUUAAAGAAGAACAUAUCUGAGAGUAACUGUUCAGGUAUUGACGG